AUAUAUGAAAAGGGCUUGAACAGUGGGUGGCACAUAAGAAUAGCUCUGGAAGUGUUAGCAGUUAUUAUUAUUAUUAUUAUUAUUUAAUUGAGAUAGGGUCUUGCUGUGUCACCCAGGCUGGAGUGCAUGAUCAUAGCUCAUUGCAACCUCGAAUGCCUGGGCUCAAGUUAUCUUCCUGCCUCAGCCUCUUUAGUAGCUGGUACUACAGGCGAGCACAGCCAUGCCUGGCUAAUUUUUUAAUUUUUAGUAGGGACAAGGUCUCACUAUGUUGCCUGGGCUGGUCUCAAACUCCUGGCCUCAGGCAAUUCUCCUGCCUCAGCCACCCAAAGUGUUGGAUUCACAGGUAUGAGCCACCACACCUGUCCUAUUAUUAUUGUUGUUGUUGUUGGGGUGAUGGUUAAUCAUUAUAACAUCGCCACCACCACCGCCACCAUCAUCAUCAUCACCACCAACAUCUUGCAAAAUGCUAUGUGUGUUUGAGGGCCAGGAUUUUCACUGUCUUCUGCAAACCACAGGGAGAUACAUUUUAAGACAGUGAGAGGGAG
Molecule: long non-coding RNA, 545 nt
Filed under: Homo sapiens (human)
Lineage: Eukaryota; Metazoa; Chordata; Mammalia; Primates; Hominidae
Description: non-protein coding lnc-FEZ2-5:1
Source: RNAcentral